This 257-nucleotide ribosomal RNA is filed under the name uncultured bacterium. RNAcentral's name for it is "partial 16S ribosomal RNA". It matches the Rfam family "Bacterial small subunit ribosomal RNA", at positions 524 to 776 of the family's 1533-position model. The record is from RNAcentral.
UACGUAGGGGGCAAGCGUUAUCCGGAAUCAUUGGGCGUAAAGCGUACCGAUAGGUGGUUAUACAAGUCAGAAGUGAAAUCUCCGAGCUCAACUCGGAAUCUGUCUUUUGAAACUGUAUGACUAGAGGGGCAAAGAGGAAGCUGGAACGAACGGUGUAGUAGUAAAAUGCGUUGAUAUCGUUCGGAACACCAAUAGCGUAGGCAGGCUUCUGGGUGCCACCUGACACUGCUAGGACGAAAGCGUGGGGAGCGAAUGGG